UUAAACUUUAUUUUGUAUAAAUUGUUCUCGAAUUGUGAAGAGCUAAGGAUAUAUUUAUUUUAAUGUUGCAUAAUUAUUUGGGAUAUAUUUUUUGUUGUUAUAUGUUAUUCGUUUUUCAAGAUAUCUAGUUUUUUAGGAAAUUAAUUUAAUUAAGCUGUUCUGUUAAUUUAACUAUUUGUUUAGUUUUUAUUAGGGUUUAUGUAAUGUCUAGAGGGAUAAGCUUUUAGAUAAAUUAAUAUAACUAGUUUAUGUUUUAUAUGUUGUAGGAAUAGAAGUUUUCAUCUAUUGAAGUGUGUUAUUACUUGGUAUUAGGAAAUUAGAUUUUUAUUUUGUUUAUGUUUUUUUACUGAAGUUAUAAUUUUAAUUGGUUUUGUUUUGAAAUAAUGAUUGGAUUAGUAUAUUAAAAUAUAAGUUGUUUUUUUUUUGGCUAGGUUAUUUGAAGGAAUUCGGCAAUAAAACUUUCUGCCUGUUUAUUAAAAACAUGGCCUCCUGGGAAUAAUAUGAGGUCUGACCUGCUCUAUGAUAGAUUAAAUGGCUGCGGUAUUUUGACCGUGCAAAGGUAGCAUAAUCAUUAGUUUUUUAAUUGGAAGCUGGCAUGAAUGGUUGGACGAGAAAGUUUCUGUCUCUGGGUAAUUUUAUUAGAAUUUUAUUUUUUAGUGAGAAAGCUUAGAUGUAAGUGAGGGACGAGAAGACCCUAUAGAAUUUUAUAAUUUGGUUUUGACGUGGUUUUUAGACUUAUUUACUUGGUUGGGAUUUAAUUGUUUCGUUGGGGUGAUGGAGAAAUUUGUUUAACUUUUUUUUUUUAAGUGCAUUAAUUUAUGAUUAUUUGAUCCAUUUUUUAUGAUUAUAAGAUUAAAUUACCUUAGGGAUAACAGCGUAAUUAAUCUGGAGAGUUCUUAUCGAUAGAUUAUUUUGCGACCUCGAUGUUGGAUUAAAAUGAAUUUUUGGUGUAGGAGCUGAAAAAUUAAGUCUGUUCGACUUUUGAAAUUUU
This 991-nucleotide ribosomal RNA is filed under the name Neolucanus sinicus. RNAcentral describes it as "partial 16S ribosomal RNA". The stretch from base 410 to 991 matches the Rfam family "Archaeal large subunit ribosomal RNA", at positions 1423 to 2666 of the family's 2987-position model. Lineage: Eukaryota; Metazoa; Arthropoda; Insecta; Coleoptera; Lucanidae. The record is from RNAcentral.